UUUAGUCCAGUCAUUCUAUUUAUAACCUAGAAAAAAUUGCAAAAGAAUUAAUUCCUUGUGCAUCGUACGUAACAAUGCCUAAUUAAGACACAAUGUUAUUUUUAAGCCUCAUUUCAAUGGGGAAAGUGUAAAAAUCCAACAAUGAAAAUGGCGAAAAUAAUACAUUUUGAAGAUGUCCUGUAUAGUACACCAUUCAGGUGCUUUCUGUGUAUAUGACGUCAUUAAGUGACGUGAAAUCAUAUAAAAUGGCGGAUGCGUUGACUCAGGCCGGUGUGUUUUUUCAGUAACAAUAAUUGGUGUGAUGGUAAGCAUUUACUAGAAAUAUAAAAGAAAGUAAGUUAUCUUUUGUAAUAAUUCCUAUAAAUUUUGAAUUUCAACAUUAAACAAUGUCUAAAACCUUUGAUAUUUAAGCCAAAAUCGAGUUUACAGCAGAGAAAUGAACAAUACAUAAUUAUGCAUCAAAUGAAGGUUAAAUAUCUCUUUUUGGCCCUAUAAAUUUGUUGAAAGCAGAUGAUCAAUUAUUUUAUAUAAAAUAUAUGUUAUUCCUGUGUAUAAAAUCAUUUUUUAUAUAACCGGUAAAUAAAAGUCUGCACAAACAAUUAAACUACGGAAGCGUGUUUGGGUCAAAAUUCGGAAAUUUAGAAAAUAAAUCUUAAUUUUUUUUUUUGCGAUUUAUGACAAAGCUUUGGCUAAAUAAGUCUAUAAUGCAUGUUAAAUGAAUAAGUUUAAAGUACUUUUUUAUUUGUUUCAUUUUAGAUUGACCUUACUAAUCCAGUGAAAUAAGUUUGCAGGAGAAGUCUUUAACUUGAAGCUGGUUCGUUACGUGCAUGUAAACGUUUAAAGGUAAAAGACAUGUGAACUUGAGAAAUGAAGGUGUGGGCUGAACUGUAGGAACUUAAAGCAGUGAAAUAUCAACCUGAUUGGUUCUAAUGAGGUGUUACAAUA
This is a long non-coding RNA of Ruditapes philippinarum (Manila clam), 945 nucleotides long. RefSeq lists it as uncharacterized. NCBI's taxonomy places the organism in Eukaryota, Metazoa, Mollusca, Bivalvia, Venerida, Veneridae. The record is from RefSeq and is a predicted model, not a curated record. The transcript is spliced from 3 exons.